AUUGAACGCUGGCGGCAUGCCUUACACAUGCAAGUCGAACAGUAACAGGUCUUCGGAUGCUGACGAGUGGCGAACGGGUGAGUAAUACAUCGGAACGUGCCCGAUCGUGGGGGAUAACGAAGCGAAAGCUUUGCUAAUACCGCAUAAGAUCUACGGAUGAAAGCAGGGGACCGCAAGGCCUUGCGCGAACGGAGCGGCCGAUGGCAGAUUAGGUAGUUGGUGGGAUAAAAGCUUACCAAGCCGACGAUCUGUAGCUGGUCUGAGAGGACGACCAGCCAGACUGGGACUGAGACACGGCCCAGACUCCGACGGGAGGCAGCAGUGGGGAAUUUUGGACAAUGGGCGAAAGCCUGAUCCAGCCAUGCCGCGUGCAGGAUGAAGGCCUUCGGGUUGUAAACUGCUUUUGUACGGAACGAAAAGACUCUUUCUAAUAAAGAGGGUCCAUGACGGUACCGUAAGAAUAAGCACCGGCUAACUACGUGCCAGCCGCCGCUGUAA
This 498-nucleotide ribosomal RNA is filed under the name uncultured bacterium. RNAcentral's name for it is "partial 16S ribosomal RNA". It matches the Rfam family "Bacterial small subunit ribosomal RNA", at positions 30 to 523 of the family's 1533-position model. The record is from RNAcentral.